Molecule: ribosomal RNA, 263 nt
Filed under: uncultured bacterium
Lineage: Bacteria
Description: partial 16S ribosomal RNA
Rfam family: Bacterial small subunit ribosomal RNA
Source: RNAcentral
CUUAGUGGCGGACGGGUGAGUAACGCGUGGGGAACCUGCCCUGUACAGGGGGAUAACACUUAGAAAUAGGUGCUAAUACCGCAUAAGCGCACAGUAUCGCAUGAUACAGUGUGAAAAACUCCGGUGGUACAGGAUGGACCCGCGUCUGAUUAGCUGGUUGGCGGGGUAACGGCCUACCAAGGCGACGAUCAGUAGCCGGCCUGAGAGGGUGGACGGCCACAUUGGGACUGAGACACGGCCCAAACUCCUACGGGAGGCAGCAG